GACGAACGCUGGCGGCGUGCUUAACACAUGCAAGUCGAACGGAAAGGCCCUGCUUUUGUGGGGUGCUCGAGUGGCGAACGGGUGAGUAACACGUGAGUAACCUGCCCUUGACUUUGGGAUAACUUCAGGAAACUGGGGCUAAUACCGGAUAGGAGCUCCUGCUGCACGGUGGGGGUUGGAAAGUUUCGGCGGUUGGGGAUGGACGCGCGGCUUAUCAGCUUGUUGGUGGGGUAGUAGCUUACCAAUGAUUUGACGGGUAGCCGGCCUCAGAGGGUGAACAGGCACGUUGAAAACGACAAGCGGACCAGACUCCUGACGGAGGCAGAGGUCGAGAAUAAUCCACAAUAGACGCACGCCUGAUAGAGCAACGCCCCAUGCGAGAUGAGGGCCUAGGGGUAGUAAACCGCUUUCGCCUGUAACGAGACGUGACUGAAGGUAAUGGGUAAAUAAGCAACGGCUAACUACGUG
This 468-nucleotide ribosomal RNA is filed under the name uncultured bacterium. RNAcentral's name for it is "partial 16S ribosomal RNA". It matches the Rfam family "Bacterial small subunit ribosomal RNA", at positions 28 to 507 of the family's 1533-position model. The record is from RNAcentral.